RNAcentral lists this long non-coding RNA (1973 nucleotides) under Equus asinus (donkey). RNAcentral's name for it is "lncRNA (ENSEASG00005036325.1)". Lineage: Eukaryota; Metazoa; Chordata; Mammalia; Perissodactyla; Equidae. The record is from RNAcentral.
UGUUUUUGUAAACUCGCCAGUCCCCAGUUAUUAAUGCAAACCACAAGAAACUGUUUCAAGUAGGAUUUGGUCUCACAGUUUCCACCUUGAAUCUGACAUAGUCUACCUGGGAAGAUUGCAGGAAACCAUAAAUAAUUCCUAAUUCCUAAAGUGGGUCUAUGCAUAAUAAAGACUUUUUUUUUUUGCUAUUAAAAAAAAACCGCCAGGAGGCUGGGAACCAGGCAUCCAGGCCGGCGGGCUGCCUCAGACGACGCUGCCCUCUGUGCACUAGCAGGCGGCCGGGCAGCACGAAGGACCGUGCAGGGGGCGGGGGCGGGGGACUGGCCCGCGUUCUCCGGCCACGGGCGGGCACCGGACAAGGCGCCUGAAGCCUCCCUCCUUAUCCCGAGCGGGAGGAGGGACGGCCACAGUGCGGCCCGAAAGCGGCGCCUGCACCGCCACCUCCGUCACCGGCCUGAUCCAGGGUCUGCGGCCCCCCGCCGCCUGGCAGGCCCCCGGCGACCCUGGUCCGCUGGCGUCCCCGCAGGAGGUUCCCCGCGGCGCGCGCACGGCGGGCGCUGCCUGGCCUUCGGAGGGGCGUCCCGAAAAGGGCCCUGGACGACGAGCAAGAGACCAAUGACAAACAUUUCCCAAACUGGCCCUAGCCUGUGGACCAGACCUUGACCAGCAGCACUUCUGGGCAGUGUUUGUCCCUGGGGGCGAAGAGGACUGAUGGUCAGAGCCGACCCUUAUUCCACUCUUACUCUCUGGCACAGCACCCUCGUGAACCCCCCAGCACAUAGUUGCAUAUUCUUCGUUGUGGGUCCUUCUACUUGUGACAUGUGGGACGCUGCCUCAGCGUGGUUUGAUGAGCAGCGUCAUGUCCCCGCCCAGGAUUCGAACCAACGAAACACUACGCCGCCUGCAGCGGAGCGCGAGCGAACUUAACCACUCGGCCACGGGGCCAGCCCCCCAAAUGCUUUUGAAAGGACAGUGGCACUCUUCAGGGUGUCCCCUUGCUCCUGCUCACCUUCUAUAUGCAUGCAUGGUCCACCGCCACACCAUGCUGUGAAGUGACAAGAAUGACAGCAUUUGCAGGAAAUGUACAUUGCAACAUGACAAAGCAAGAAACACCUUUUGCAAAAAGCGUUAGAAGUUAAAGGACUGGCUGGUAAUGCCUCGGACAUCAGUUCUUAUCCUUCUGCUUUUGCAGUUGCUGAAUGUUGAAACAAGUCAGCUUGAAGUCGGGUAAUAAAUGGAUUCCAGCUUGAAUCUUGGCAGGAUUUGUUUUGCUUGAGGGAAGUUGUUUAUGCUAAGGGGUGCCCCCCCUGCAUAGUUCGAUUUAUAUUAUACAAAGUCUUGUCCAUCAUCUGGAUGCUGUUGUAAACAAUGUAAUCUUUGUCUACCAGGAAUGAGCCCAAUGCCAAUAACUUUAAAUAAACACAAGCACCAGUUUUGUAUUUACAUUGUCUGAGGCAAGCGCUGGCAGGAGUUUUUAAUGGCGCCGUCGGCCCCUCCCUGCCUAAGGUAGUGUCGGCUGUCGGGACUGACCUGAUUUGUGGAGAACUCACUCAGGGAAAGAUUUCAUACUUAGCAGAUGAGUGCGACACCCAGCCUGCAUUCUUUUGUGGGGUUUUGGCAUAUUUUAAUUCCAUCAAGUGAGCACUGCAUCUUCUUGUGCUGGAUGGAGCAGGGCGGGGGUUGAGGGAAGACCUUAGACCUGUAACGUGCAAUCAUGCACUUGAGCAACUGAGGCCGUCAACAGCAAGGCUCUGGGUGUCAGCGGGCUCUGAGGAUUCCAUUACUAACAUGGCUCUGACUCUGCUCCAUGGAAGACAUCGAUGCGUUGAGUUGCAUUCCAUGCAGAAAUCAAUGGAAUUUUGCAAAAGUUUGGAUGUCUGUUGCAAUUCCAAACCAAGCAAGUAGAGAAACAUACCACUCUUCAAUAGUGAUAAAUUAUCUUUGUGGAGGAGUAAAGAGAAAAGCAAUUUUGC